Molecule: long non-coding RNA, 323 nt
Filed under: Elaeis guineensis (African oil palm)
Lineage: Eukaryota; Viridiplantae; Streptophyta; Magnoliopsida; Arecales; Arecaceae
Description: long non-coding RNA (EGUI_LNC002974)
Source: RNAcentral
UCCUCAUAUGAAGUAUCAUUUCCAUCAUCAACUAUAUUGCUUGGAAAUCCAAAUAGGUUGGGCUCUUUGCCUUUCUCUUUUUGCUUCCCCUUAUCUCUCUCAAUCCCUGCAUCUACAUUUCUUUCGAAUUCCAAAUCAUCAUUUAUAUAGCUAUAAUUGUUAUCAUGAAAAUCAGAUUCACCAUCUUUAAUGCUUGAAUCUUUUAGCACUCCAUCAUUAAUGCCUGAAUCCUUCGACACAUCAUCUUCCAUCCUUAAGUUCAUUUGCACUAAAUCAUCAUUGCUUGAAUCUUGUUGCUCUAUAUCAUCUUCAACUUCACCCCC